CCUACGGGUGGCAGCAGUGAGGAAUAUUGGUCAAUGGACGAGAGUCUGAACCCUCCCCGUCUCUUUCCUUCUUCCUUCCCUCUUUUUUUUCCCCUUCUUUUAUCUUGGAAUAAAAUGUUCCACGUGUGGGAUUUUGUAUGUACCAUAUGAAUAAGGAUCGGCUAACUCCGUGCCAGCAGCCGCGGUAAUACGGAGGAUCCGAGCGUUAUCCGGAUUUAUUGGGUUUAAAGGGAGCGUAGGUGGAUUGUUAAGUCAGUUGUGAAAGUUUGCGGCUCAACCGUAAAAUUGCAGUUGAAACUGGCAGUCUUGAGUACAGUAGAGGUGGGCGGAAUUCGUGGUGUAGCGGUGAAAUGCUUAGAUAUCACGAAGAACUCCGAUUGCGAAGGCAGCUCACUGGACUGCAACUGACACUGAGGCUCGAAAGUGUGGGUAUCAAACAGGAUUAGAUACCCCAGUAGUC
RNAcentral lists this ribosomal RNA (460 nucleotides) under uncultured bacterium. RNAcentral describes it as "partial 16S ribosomal RNA". It matches the Rfam family "Bacterial small subunit ribosomal RNA", at positions 338 to 795 of the family's 1533-position model. The record is from RNAcentral.